UGGGGUGGGCGUUGGGGCGGAGGGCGGUAUUUUUCAGGCCCACCGGGCGCAGUGUGGAGAGGGGAGCCCUGGGCCUCAUCCCACCCAGGGGCGCCCCCCACAGCGCUGAGCCCCCGGAGCACCCGCAAUCCAGGCCGUUGGAGGCCCAGAGCCGAGACCUGCGGCGCCACGGCCCCCUCUGUGUCAGGGCCCCGACGGGAGGUAAGGCCCCGACUAGGCGCUUCCAUCCUCCCAGAACCGGAGGAAGCUCGCAGCAGAGGCCGCCCCGCAGAGGGUGAGAGCCCUGUGGGUGAGAGGCGGUCUGUCUGUCUCCUUCGAAGCCUCGUGCCACGCGGGGCUGCACUUUUGGAAACAGCGUGAGGCUCCGCCUCCGGCCGGCCCACAGGAGGAAAGGACAGCCAAAUCUGCAACCAGGCAAAUUAUGAUCAUGGUUAUUAGUGCAACAUUGAAGUUCUCCACCUGCCCGUCGUCUCCUUCCUGACUGAGUCUCCCACCCUCAGUGAACACACAACUCAACAUUCCAUUCCAAGAGUGGCGGCGGUGACAGUGAGGUGGGCCAGG
Myotis myotis is the source of this 561-nucleotide long non-coding RNA. RefSeq lists it as uncharacterized. The transcript has 2 exons. The record is from RefSeq and is a predicted model, not a curated record. Lineage: Eukaryota; Metazoa; Chordata; Mammalia; Chiroptera; Vespertilionidae.